This 107-nucleotide small nucleolar RNA is filed under the name Gossypium barbadense (sea-island cotton). RNAcentral's name for it is "Plant small nucleolar RNA R71". It matches the Rfam family "Plant small nucleolar RNA R71". From Rfam's summary of the family: R71 is a member of the C/D box family of snoRNAs containing the C (UGAUGA) and D (CUGA) box motifs. Multiple nearly identical copies of this snoRNA have been identified in Arabidopsis, and it is thought to function as a 2'-O-ribose methylation guide for 18S ribosomal RNA. RNAcentral also lists the same sequence under 2 other names. Lineage: Eukaryota; Viridiplantae; Streptophyta; Magnoliopsida; Malvales; Malvaceae. The record is from Rfam by way of RNAcentral.
AACCCAUGGUGAGGGUACCUUCUCAGUAAGUCCAUGUAUCUCUCCCAUGCAUCGUAGAGGGUUUCUAAAUCCAUCUGUACAAAAGAAGAGAUGUCAUUAAGUAAUUU